AUGGCCUGGAGGCUGCCGCCCCUGGCCGUCCUCCUACUCCUCGUCGCCGCGGCCGUCGCCCCUCUCUCCUCCGCCGUCCGCCCGGUCUCCGACGCGCACAGAUCCGUCGCCGCCGAGCUCUUCGCCGCCUCCCCCGACGACUUGGAGACGACGUACGAGGCGGUCAGGACGUUCAAGAUGCUCGGGGUGCAGAGGGAUAAGGGCCUUGAUGGCAAGGCCUGCAAGCUCGCCGCCCAUACGCUGUCCUCGUCCUCGUCGCCCGCCAAGGAUCUGUUCCAGGCGGUCCAGAUCGCCGGCGUCCUCGGAUGCAGCGUCGAUGCCGGCGUUUACGAUGACGUCGCGUCGAGGCUUAAGGCUGUGAUCAAGGACACCGAUUCGCUGCUGGAGUUCUACUAUUCUGUCGGAGGCCUGCUCAGCCUGAAGGAACAAGGCCACAGUGUUGUUUUAUCUGACGCGGAUAGCACAUUUCACGCAAUAAAGGCACUUAGCCAAAGUGAUGGAAGAUGGCGCUAUGACACCAACAGUGCUGAAUCCAGUACAUUUGCUGCUGGUAUAGCACUAGAAGCAUUGGCAGGAGUUGUUUCACUGUCUGAUGCGGAGGUUGAUCCGUCUAUGAUAGGAGUCGUUAAAAAUGACAUCGUGAAGCUAUUUGGCACAAUCAAGAGCUAUGAUGAUGGAACCUUCUAUUUUGAUGAGAAGUAUGUUGAUGGUUCUGAAUACAAGGGCCCUAUAACAACUUCUGCUUCAGUAGUACGCGGUGUCACCUCCUUCGCUAAUGUUGUUUCUGGGAAAUUGAACAUCCCUGGUGAGAAAAUACUGGGCUUGGCAAAGUUCUUUCUUGGUAUUGGGCUCCCAGGUAGUGCAAAGGAUUGCUUUAAUCAGAUUGAGUCCUUGUCGCUCCUGGAAAACAAUAGGAUCUUUGUUCCUUUGAUCCUUUCACUUCCUUCCAAAGUACUGUCACUGACCUCCAAAGACCAGCUUAAGGUUGAAGUAACUACAGUGUUUGGUUCUGCGGCACCUCCCCUCAGAGUGAAUCUUGUCCAAGUCUUGGGCUCUGAUUCUAAGAUCAUCACCACUGACAGCAAGGAACUUCAGUUUGACCUCGACAACAAUGUUCAUUACUUGGACAUUACUCCAUUGAAAAUAGAUGUCGGGAAGUACUCGCUAGUUUUUGAGAUUACUCUUCAGGAUUCAGAACAUGAAACCGUUUACACUACUGGAGGGAGAAACACUGAGUCUGUCGUCGUUACAGGACUGAUCAAAGUUGACAAGGCAGAAAUUGGAAUUUCUGAGAAUGAUGCUGGGAGUGCGGAGUCUGUCGAAAAGUUAGAUCUGCUGAAAGAUACAAAAGUUUCUCUCUCUGCAAACCAUCUGCAGAAGUUACGUCUAUCUUUUCAACUAUCUACACCACUUGGACGCACAUUUAAACCUCACCAGGUUUUCUUGAAGUUAAAGCAUGAAAGCAAGGUUGAACACUUAUUUGUGGUGCCAGGUUCUGCGAGGCAAUUCAAAAUUGUUCUAGAUUUUCUUGGAUUGGUAGAGAAAUUUUACUACCUUUCUGGAACAUAUGACCUUGAGCUUUCUGUUGGUGAUGCUUCAAUGGAAAAUUCGUUCCUACGUGCCCUUGGCCAACUGGAGUUGGACUUGCCGGAGGCCCCUGAAAAGGCCCCACGUCCUCCGGCACAAGCUGUUGACCCGUUAGCAAAGUUUAGGCCACAAAAGGAGAUAGAGCACAUAUUCCGUGUGCCAGAGAAGAGGCCACUGCAGGAAGUAUCGCUUGCAUUUACUGGCCUCACACUCCUGCCUUUCAUUGGGUUCUUGAUUGGGCUUAUGCGUCUGGGAGUCAACUUGAAGAACUUCCCUUCCCUGCCAGGACCAGCUGCAUUCGCAUCACUCUUCCAUGCUGGAAUCGCAGCAGUACUGUUGCUCUAUGUUCUCUUCUGGGUUAAGCUGGAUCUUUUCACAACUCUGAAGUACCUCAGCUUCCUCGGCGUGUUCCUUGUGUUCGUUGGCCAUAGGACCCUAUCUCAUCUUUCCAACACGACGGCAAAACAGAAGACUGCUUGA
RNAcentral lists this ribosomal RNA (2067 nucleotides) under Triticum aestivum (bread wheat). RNAcentral describes it as "partial small subunit ribosomal RNA". Lineage: Eukaryota; Viridiplantae; Streptophyta; Magnoliopsida; Poales; Poaceae. The record is from RNAcentral.